CGCGUAGGCGGCUCGGAAAGUCGGGCGUGAAAUGCCGGGGCUCAACCCCGGGACUGCGUCCGAUACUUCCGAGCUGGAGGUAGGUAGGGGAGAUCGGAAAUCCUGGUGUAGCGGUGAAAUGCGCAGAUAUCAGGAGGAACACCGGUGGCGAAGGCGGAUCUCUGGGCCUUACCUGACGCUGAGGCGCGAAAGCUAGGGGAGCGAACA
Molecule: ribosomal RNA, 207 nt
Filed under: uncultured bacterium
Lineage: Bacteria
Description: partial 16S ribosomal RNA
Rfam family: Bacterial small subunit ribosomal RNA
Source: RNAcentral